RNAcentral lists this small nuclear RNA (349 nucleotides) under Erinaceus europaeus (western European hedgehog). RNAcentral describes it as "7SK RNA". It matches the Rfam family "7SK RNA". From Rfam's summary of the family: 7SK was discovered as an abundant small nuclear RNA in the mid-70s but a possible function has only recently been suggested. The record is from Rfam by way of RNAcentral. Lineage: Eukaryota; Metazoa; Chordata; Mammalia; Eulipotyphla; Erinaceidae.
GGAUGUGAGGGCGAUCUGGCUGCGACAUCUGUCACCCCAUUGAUGGCCAGGGUUGAUUCGGCUGAUCUGGCUGGCUAGGCGGGUGUCCCCUUCCUCCCUCACCACUCCAUGUGUGUCCCUUCCAAAGCUGCAUGCUCAGUCAAAGAGGAUGGCCUUCCCCGAAUAGAGAUGGACCGAUCUUGGGUUGAGGGUAUACGAGUAGCUGCGCUCCCCUGCUAGAACCUCCAAACAAGCUCUCAAAGUCCAUUAUUUUUUGCCAGAGCACUGCUCAGCUCUGACUUGGGUGGUGCUGGGAGUUAAACCAGGGACCUCAGAGCCUCAGAUGUGAGAGUCUGUAUAGUCAUUAUGU